GAUGAACGCUGGCGGCGUGCCUAAUACAUGCAAGUCGAGCGAACAGAUGAGGAGCUUGCUCCUCUGACGUUAGCGGCGGACGGGUGAGUAACACGUGGAUAACCUACCUAUAAGACUGGGAUAACUUCGGGAAACCGGAGCUAAUACCGGAUAAUAUAUUGAACCGCAUGGUUCAAUAGUGAAAGACGGUUUUGCUGUCACUUAUAGAUGGAUCCGCGCCGCAUUAGCUAGUUGGUAAGGUAACGGCUUACCAAGGCAACGAUGCGUAGCCGACCUGAGAGGGGGGGCGGCCACACUGGAACUGAGACACGGACCAGACUCCUACGGGAGGCAGCAGUAGGGAAUCUUCCGCAAUGGGCGAAAGCCUGACGGAGCAACGCUGCGUGAGUGAUGAAGGUCUUCGGAUCGUAAAACUCUGUUAUUAGAGAAGAACAAAUGUGUAAGUCACUAUGCACGUCUUGACGGUACCUAAUCAGAAAGCCACGGCUAACUACGUG
This 497-nucleotide ribosomal RNA is filed under the name uncultured bacterium. RNAcentral describes it as "partial 16S ribosomal RNA". It matches the Rfam family "Bacterial small subunit ribosomal RNA", at positions 28 to 507 of the family's 1533-position model. The record is from RNAcentral.